RNAcentral lists this long non-coding RNA (496 nucleotides) under Homo sapiens (human). RNAcentral describes it as "HSALNT0379072". The record is from RNAcentral. Lineage: Eukaryota; Metazoa; Chordata; Mammalia; Primates; Hominidae.
UCCAGAUUUCACAACCAGCCAGAUCACUUGAAGGCAGGGGCUAAGUCUGAUUUUUCUCCGUAAGUAUAAUGACACAAAUGAUCAAAAACAAACAAACAGAAAACAUGGACUAUCAAUCGAACAGUAGAAUCUCAAGAAACACAGCAUGUUAGUGCCUUUCUUUUUUUUCACCCUCUCAACCCGGCUUUUCCCAUAAGUGCCUUUCUUGAAAAAAACAAGAAAGAAAUUGACAGCAAAUUUCAACUAACCAAGCGAUGAAUUAAAUGAAGAACUCAAGAAUGGGGAAGCUGAAGAGAAAGACUGGUGUAGAAUUUGAAGCACCUGGCAAGAAGAUAAAAUAACUUUUCAUAAAGAUGGAGACUUGCCAUGAAUGAAACCAGGCAACUUGUGGAAGAAAUCCUUGUAACAAAAUCCUCACCUCUGUUGAGAAGUUGCAUUGGAAAGACCAUUUGGGGCCCUGGUGGUCAGAAUUCUAAAAUCAAGUUGUCAGCAGGGA